CAACAAGGCCUUUACUGACGCUAAAGCUCGAAGGUGCGGGUAUCGAACAGGAUUAGAUACCCUGGUAGUCCGCACGGUAAACGAUGGAUGCCCGCUGUUCGCGAUAGACUGUGAGCGGCCAAGAGAAAUCGUUAAGCAUCCCACCUGGGGAGUACGCCGGCAACGGUGAAACUCAAAGGAAUUGACGGGGGCCCGCACAAGCGGAGGAACAUGUGGCUUAAUUCGAUGAUACGCGAGGAACCUUACCCGGGCUUGAACUGCAGCAGGAGGAUACAGAGAUGUUGACGCCCUUCGGGGCUGCUGUGGAGGUGCUGCAUGGUUGUCGUCAGCUCGUGCCGUGAGGUGUCGGCUUAAGUGCCAUAACGAGCGCAACCCUUUUCAUUAGUUGCCAUCAGGUAAUGCUGGGCACUCUGGUGAUACUGCCACCGUAAGGUGUGAGGAAGGUGGGGAUGACGUCAAAUCAGCACGGCCCUUACGUCCGGGGCUACACACGUGUUACAAUGGGGAGUACAGAGAGUCAGCCGCCGGUAACGUCGGUUCAAUCAAUAAAGCUCUCCUCAGUUCGGAUUGGGGUCUGCAACCCGACCCCAUGAAGCUGGAU
RNAcentral lists this ribosomal RNA (601 nucleotides) under uncultured bacterium. RNAcentral describes it as "bacterial SSU rRNA". It matches the Rfam family "Bacterial small subunit ribosomal RNA", at positions 726 to 1331 of the family's 1533-position model. The record is from RNAcentral.